CGGGCGCGCCUAACACAUGCAAGUCGAGCGAGAAAGGGGCAACCCCGGUAAAGCGGCGCACGGGUGAGUAACACGUAGGUAAUCUACCCUCGGGGUGGAGGAUAACUUUCCGAAAGGAAGGCUAAUACUGCAUGAGACCACGAUUCCGGAAGGGGAUUGAGGUCAAAGCCGGCCACUGUACACAAGCUGGCGCCUGAGGAUGAGCCUGCGGCCCAUCAGCUAGUUGGUAGGGUAAAUGGCCUACCAAGGCGAAGACGGGUAGCUGGUCUGAGAGGAUGAUCAGCCACACUGGAAACUAGAGAACAACGGUCCAGACUCCUAACGGGAGGCAGCAGUGGGGAAUCUUGCGCAAUGGGCGAAAAGCCUGACGCAGCGACGCCGCGUGAGUGAUGAAGGCCUUCGGGUUGUAAAGCUCUGUGGAGGGGACGAAAUAAGGGCUGGCUAACAUCCAGCUUGAUGACGGUACCUCUUUAGCAAGCACCGGCUAACUCUGUGCCAGCAGCCGACGGUAAGACAGAGG
This 520-nucleotide ribosomal RNA is filed under the name uncultured bacterium. Its description in RNAcentral is "bacterial SSU rRNA". It matches the Rfam family "Bacterial small subunit ribosomal RNA", at positions 40 to 531 of the family's 1533-position model. The record is from RNAcentral.